UGCUGUCCGAGGUAUGUCUGUCCUG
This 25-nucleotide unclassified non-coding RNA is filed under the name Mus musculus (house mouse). RNAcentral describes it as "oocyte_clustered_small_RNA13892". Lineage: Eukaryota; Metazoa; Chordata; Mammalia; Rodentia; Muridae. The record is from RNAcentral.